ACCAGUGAUCAUUGAAGAGGCACGUCUUGCCAGUUUCCGGCUCACUGGACGAGCAGCUGGUUCCAGAAGGGUUUCCGGGACCCCAUCACGAUCCAGAAUGGCACGAUCUCCAGUAGAGGGGUGUGUAGAGAAGUAGACGGUGAGAAGUUUCUUAUUGAGAGCGAGUCCGAGUCCUGCUUCCGAUGUGUUGUCAUUCAUGAAAGACACCGAAACGUGCUUCAGUACAAAGAAACAUACUGCUCUUCAACUAACAAUCUAGAGGUAAAAGUGUCGGGAGAUAAGUGGAGAUGCCCCUCUUUAUUCCAUGUUUAGGCUGGACACAACCCCCAUACCUUGCCCUUUUAAGGAUUCUUUUACCUUCAGCUACAGCCGGGGUCACGGUGAAUGUCGUAAUCCAGUUUCUACAGUCGACUCUUGCACUGACGAAUCACAUCUCUUCUUUAAAUUCCAGGCAUGCGCAGAUGUGCGCAACUCAGAAAGCAGAGAAGAGAAAUUGACGUGUUUUGGGUUAUGGAAAGAAGGCUCCACGCGAUAUCUGAUCGCCAAGAUGGAACACAAAGAUACAAUCACGGACGAAGACAAGUUUCGCUGUUUUGUAAGUCCCUAUAUUAUGUUCCAUUAGAUCUGUGU
RNAcentral lists this long non-coding RNA (630 nucleotides) under Limulus polyphemus (Atlantic horseshoe crab). RNAcentral describes it as "uncharacterized LOC111083251, transcript variant X1". The record is from RNAcentral. Lineage: Eukaryota; Metazoa; Arthropoda; Merostomata; Xiphosura; Limulidae.